This 102-nucleotide ribosomal RNA is filed under the name Clostridium butyricum. Its description in RNAcentral is "partial 23S ribosomal RNA". It matches the Rfam family "Bacterial large subunit ribosomal RNA", at positions 2823 to 2925 of the family's 2925-position model. The record is from RNAcentral. Lineage: Bacteria; Bacillati; Bacillota; Clostridia; Eubacteriales; Clostridiaceae.
AGCUAGUAAGACCCCUUGAAGACUACAAGGUUGAUAGGUCAGAGGUGUAAGUGCGGUAACGUAUUUAGCUGACUGAUACUAAUAGGUCGAGGGCUUGACCAA